Molecule: ribosomal RNA, 537 nt
Filed under: Vibrio harveyi
Lineage: Bacteria; Pseudomonadati; Pseudomonadota; Gammaproteobacteria; Vibrionales; Vibrionaceae
Description: bacterial SSU rRNA
Rfam family: Bacterial small subunit ribosomal RNA
Source: RNAcentral
UGGAGAGUUUGAUCCUGGCUCAGAUUAAACGCUGGCGGCAGGCCUAACACAUGCAAGUCGAGCGGAAACGAGUUAUCUGAACCUUCGGGGAACGAUAACGGCGUCGAGCGGCGGACGGGUGAGUAAUGCCUAGGAAAUUGCCCUGAUGUGGGGGAUAACCAUUGGAAACGAUGGCUAAUACCGCAUAAUGCCUACGGGCCAAAGAGGGGGACCUUCGGGCCUCUCGCGUCAGGAUAUGCCUAGGUGGGAUUAGCUAGUUGGUGAGGUAAUGGCUCACCAAGGCGACGAUCCCUAGCUGGUCUGAGAGGAUGAUCAGCCACACUGGAACUGAGACACGGUCCAGACUCCUACGGGAGGCAGCAGUGGGGAAUAUUGCACAAUGGGCGCAAGCCUGAUGCAGCCAUGCCGCGUGUGUGAAGAAGGCCUUCGGGUUGUAAAGCACUUUCAGUCGUGAGGAAGGUAGUGUAGUUAAUAGCUGCAUUAUUUGACGUUAGCGACAGAAAGAAGCACCGGGCUAACUCCGUGCCAGCAGCCGCG